This is a non-coding RNA of Misgurnus anguillicaudatus (oriental weatherfish), 1468 nucleotides long. The record is from RefSeq and is a predicted model, not a curated record. Lineage: Eukaryota; Metazoa; Chordata; Actinopteri; Cypriniformes; Cobitidae.
UAUUGUCCAGCUGAUUACUAUCAAUAUCUGUAAUGUUUUCAACUACUUGUAAAUCGUGAGAAAAUUUCCAUUCAAAACAUUGACACGGGGCAGUGCAGUCUCCUGUCAAUGACGUUAAUAUCCAUGUGACCCUUUGUCACCACCUUUACUGACGUAACCCACAUGAGAACACUGGUCGAGCUCAAAAAAAUAAAAUGGCGGCCAAGGAAGCGGCUGGAGCACAAAUUUAGUGAAAAUAAACGUAUAUUUUCACUUUUUAAGCAUUUUAAUUUCAUUUCUAGCGAGAAAUUAGUAUUGUAGUUUUCAAAUUUGUGAUUAGUUAUCACAAAGGCGCUCUCUGUUUUUAUUUCAAACACGCUGCCUUUGAAGUGCGUCGGAAAGCCUUUCUCUGAGCGGCCUUCAGGCCUCCGAGUCCGAAGUCAUGUCCUCAUGAGGCAGCGAGGCCACAAGUCCUCACUGCCUUGAGCUUUCGGACGCACACAGUGUUAGACAAAUGCGGAACUAUGCGCUUGCUUAUGGACUAAUGGAUAUCUCUGUACCAUCUGCCGCUGGUUGUGUCAGCUCCUGUAAACGUACGGGCCAACCAAACGACCCAAGAAGAGUUUGGAACAAAACGAGGGAGGAUCAAUUUGGUGUUGCAUUAUCUGGAUAGAGAGAACUUCAACAACAACAUUUAACUAGACCGAGAUUCUGAUCCUGCUUGUGUUUUACGCGAUGGACGAUAUGCACAUCAAAGGUAUUGUGAGAUUCUGAUCCUGCUUGUGUUUUACGCGAUGGGUUUCACAAUGCCUGAAACAGUUGUGGAUGCAAUAACAGCAGCACUCCCAAAGCUGGAUGAAGAUCACCUAAAAUCCUUGCUUGAGCGACUGCUUUUGGUUGUUGGAGUAGAAGAAGUUGCAGAUCUAAUUUAUGUUUAGGAGGAUGUCAUUUAGGACAUACUGACACCCCUACAGACCCGCAAACUAAUAGAUUUCUUUCAUAGAAGAGGUUUGUAAUAUUUUGUAAAAUCCAAUAUAAGAUUUAAAAUCAAUUAGCAGCAUAUUUUAUGCACUUUAUUCACUGUUAUGUACAUACAACCACAAAGCUCAAGCAAUCCAAUUAACAUCAAAGUGGUACCUAAUUGUUACUGCUAUGUGUGAUGAUUAAUGGUUAUUAAUGAUGAAUACAAACAGUGAUGACAUCAGCAUAACAGAUUUUUAGGGCAUGGUUUUAAGUUGACAACAUGUAAAUAGUUGUUUAGUAAAAAAACUAUCUACUUUGUUAUUUUGUGGCUAUUAUGUGGCUUACACAUCCUUCUUUCAGAACCUAGGAUGAAGAAUCUGUUAGUUAUGUAGACCUAUGAUAUUCCCAAUUGUUGUUCUGCCAGUGUUGUAAAGAAUUUUGGUUGUUAUGCUGUAUAUCUCAAGAGCCAAAACAAUUGUGUUUAAGAUAUAUGUAUGAUUUGGGAAAAUGUGCUCUUUAACAUGUA